RNAcentral lists this ribosomal RNA (497 nucleotides) under uncultured bacterium. RNAcentral describes it as "partial 16S ribosomal RNA". It matches the Rfam family "Bacterial small subunit ribosomal RNA", at positions 28 to 507 of the family's 1533-position model. The record is from RNAcentral.
GAUGAACGCUGGCGGCGUGCCUAAUACAUGCAAGUCGAGCGAACAGACGAGGAGCUUGCUCCUCUGACGUUAGCGGCGGACGGGUGAGUAACACGUGGAUAACCUACCUAUAAGACUGGGAUAACUUCGGGAAACCGGAGCUAAUACCGGAUAAUAUAUUGAACCGCAUGGUUCAAUAGUGAAAGACGGUUUUGCUGUCACUUAUAGAUGGAUCCGCGCCGCAUUAGCUAGUUGGUAAGGUAACGGCUUACCAAGGCAACGAUGCGUAGCCGACCUGAGAGGGUGAUCGGCCACACUGGAACUGAGACACGGUCCAGACUCCUACGGGAGGCAGCAGUAGGGACUCUUCCGCAAUGGGCGAAAGCUUGACGGAGCAACGCCGCGUGAGUGCUGAAGGUCUUCGGAUCGUAAACCUCUGUUAUUAGGGAAGAACAAAUGUGUAAGUAACUAUGCACGUCUUGACGGUACCUAAUCAGACAGCCACGGCUAACUACGUG